RNAcentral lists this ribosomal RNA (477 nucleotides) under uncultured bacterium. Its description in RNAcentral is "partial 16S ribosomal RNA". It matches the Rfam family "Bacterial small subunit ribosomal RNA", at positions 28 to 507 of the family's 1533-position model. The record is from RNAcentral.
GAUGAACGCUGGCGGCGUGCCUAACACAUGCAAGUCGAACGAAGCACCUUACCUGAUUCUUCGGAUGAAAGUUUGGUGACUGAGUGGCGGACGGGUGAGUAACGCGUGGGUAACCUGCCCUGUACAGGGGGAUAACAGCUGGAAACGGCUGCUAAUACCGCAUAAGCGCACGAGGAGACAUCUCCUUGUGUGAAAAACUCCGGUGGUACAGGAUGGGCCCGCGUCUGAUUAGCUGGUUGGCAGGGUAACGGCCUACCAAGGCAACGAUCAGUAGCCGGUCUGAGAGGAUGAACGGCCACAUUGGAACUGAGACACGGUCCAAACUCCUACGGGAGGCAGCAGUGGGGAAUAUUGCACAAUGGGGGAAAUCCUGAUGCAGCAACGCCGCGUGAGUGAAGAAGUAUUUCGGUAUGUAAAGCUCUAUCAGCAGGGAAGAUAAUGACGGUACCUGACUAAGAAGCUCCGGCUAAAUACGUG